RNAcentral lists this ribosomal RNA (253 nucleotides) under uncultured bacterium. RNAcentral describes it as "partial 16S ribosomal RNA". It matches the Rfam family "Bacterial small subunit ribosomal RNA", at positions 524 to 776 of the family's 1533-position model. The record is from RNAcentral.
UACAGAGGCCCCAAGCGUUAGUCGGAAUUACUGGGCUUAAAGGGUGCGUAGGCGGGCGCGUAAGUGUUCUGUGAAAUCCCCGGGCUCAACCCGGGAACCGCAGGGCAUACUGCGCGUCUCGAGGAAGCUAGAGGCCGGUGGAACGAUCGGUGGAGCGGUGGAAUGCGUAGAGAUCGAUCGGAACGCCAAGGGUGAAGACAACCGGCUGGGGCUUUCCUGACGCUGAGGCACGAAAGCGCGGGGAUCAAACAGG